This 403-nucleotide unclassified non-coding RNA is filed under the name soil metagenome. RNAcentral's name for it is "partial contains 5.8S ribosomal RNA, internal transcribed spacer 2, and large subunit ribosomal RNA". The stretch from base 1 to 121 matches the Rfam family "5.8S ribosomal RNA", at positions 35 to 154 of the family's 154-position model. The record is from RNAcentral.
GAUGAAGAACGUAGCGAAAUGCGAUAAGUAAUGUGAAUUGCAGAAUUCAGUGAAUCAUCGAAUCUUUGAACGCACCUUGCGCCCUUUGGCUAUUCCGAAGGGCAUGCCUGUUUGAGUAUCAUGAACACCUCAACUCUCAUGGUUUGCCAUGAUGAGCUUGGACUUUGGGGGUCUUGCCGGCCUAUGGGUCGGCUCCUCUCAAAUUAAUCAGCUUGCCAGUGUUUGGUGGCAUCACAGGUGUGAUAACUAUCUACGCUUGUGGUUUUCCAUCAGGUAACCUUCAGUGAUGGAGGUUCGCUGGGGCUCAUAAAUGUCUCUCCUCAGUGAGGACAGCUUUUUUGAACGUUUGAUCUCAAAUCAGGUAGGACUACCCGCUGAACUUAAGCAUAUCAAUAGCGGAGGA